Molecule: long non-coding RNA, 767 nt
Organism: Octopus sinensis (East Asian common octopus)
Lineage: Eukaryota; Metazoa; Mollusca; Cephalopoda; Octopoda; Octopodidae
Exons: 2
Source: RefSeq, a predicted model, not a curated record
AUCUUUAGACUAUGAUUCUAACAAUAUAUCAACACAUGACUGCACAAAACAAAAACAAAAAACAAAAAAAGACCCUUUCAGUCUAAUAACAUAGGAAUCCAUAAAUAAAAAAAAAAUCAUAAAUUUAAUUUUUAAAAUUUUUAUUGUAUUUUUCAGAAACCCCCAAACUAAUCAAGAAUGGAUGGGAAACCAGAUCUUACUGAAAUUGCAACCUUUGACAAGAGUCAUCUUAGGAAAGCAGAGACAAAUGAAAAAAAUACCUUGCCUACUAAAGAAAUAAUAGAGCAGGAGAAAAGUAAUUAAGAUUCAAAAUGGAGACCAUGAAGUGGUAACUUAACAGCGUUACGUAACCUUAUUGGUUACGUUGCUGGUGGACAUGGUUAUCUCCGGGAUCUCAAAUAAGCUGUGGUUAAUAUCUUCACGCUAAUAUAAUGUCUUAAUUGGUGAUAACAUUAAAUUCAUCAUGUAAGCCAUCAGGAAAAAAAACAACCGAAAAUGGCUUAAUUAUUCCUUAAUGUAAUUUUUUUUUCCUUUUCUUUUUUUUUUGCAGUUUUUUAAAUAAAAAAUAAAGAAUGAAACAUCUUGAAUUUUCUUUCAAUCUGUUUUCCUUUUUCCACUAUAUUUCUUUAUUUUUUUAUUCUUUCAUUAUUAUUUACAUUUUACAUUUGUUUUAAAUUAAUUUUUUUUUUUCAUAAUUACAUAAUAAUUUUGUUAUCACCAUGUUAAAGCAAUAAAACUACAUUCCGGAUGGAUAAUUCUAUCACUGA